UAUCAACAAGACUUAUGUUUCUGCAUUUUAGACAUUUAUUAUAGCAAGAAAUGCCAUGACUCAUUUGAAUUCUACAUCCAGGGGGACAUGAACUCAGCAAAAUCACUGGAAAUGCUGGUGACAGAAUAGCAUGUGGUAAAUUAUUAAACUUCAGAGAAUUUUUGUUUGUGUCUAGAAAAUCAUUAUCAAUUGAAAAAGGGAAUCCGAUUUCUCAUAAUUUGAGCUCAUCUUUUUCUUCACCAUCUACGUAUGUGAGCAGAUUUCUGUUUGGUCAAUCGUCUUUGUGCAGGUAUCAUUGGUUUGCAAGAAUAGUAUGAUUCUCCAGAGAAUCAUACUAAGACAAAGGCAGCUGAAUAAUUGUGUAUUUGCUAGCUGGACAAAAUGUUACAAGACCUUCACUCAUUUUGAAUCAAAUUAAGAACAAAUCGUACUAUGCUUUUUGCUGGUUUGAUUUUGUGUGAUGCAAAAUUUUGUAUGCUUUGUUUGAUCUCAUAAAUUUAAGCUUCCUUUUGGUUUGCUUCAAAUUUUCUGUGGAGAUUUUGUUCCCUUUUUGCUCAAUGAUCUGUAUGCAAAAUUUCCUGUCUCUCGAAAAAUUAUAAAAUAAAAUCGAAUUAUGUAUAAUAGUUU
RNAcentral lists this unclassified non-coding RNA (627 nucleotides) under Hevea brasiliensis (rubber tree). The record is from RNAcentral. Lineage: Eukaryota; Viridiplantae; Streptophyta; Magnoliopsida; Malpighiales; Euphorbiaceae.